CUGCUUCUACUUCCCCAUCAAUUAACUCUUCAGAUCUGCCGGAAAUCUCUCAGAAUCUAGCACUCUCCGCCUUCCUCUGCACCUCGCCGGCAGUUACCUCAUAAUGCAGCCAAGCAGCUUCACCGCCGCCUAGCUCCGCCUCCGCGGAUCUGAGCUUCAAUGGGCUCCGCGCCGUCGUCGCAAUACCACGGUGAGGAGGACUCAUUCCAAGAAGAUGAGGAGGAACAGAAUCCGCGAGCUAUUAAACCUUCGAAGGAGAAGGUUCUGGAGCAAGAACCGGAGAUCCUCCCCUGCCACGCCUCCGCUUCUCCACUAUCCCCGCAGCUCUCCACCGUCGGCACUCCCCGACUUCUCGGCCCCUCUAUAAAAGUUUGGGAUCCCUGUAAUGUCCUUCUUCCUCCGGCCGUGUUCUCCCGUGGAUUCGAUUCUGAUGCUGGCGGUGUUGAGUUGAUGCGGGAGUUGGUGUUGAUUAAUCAUGGUGAAUGCGGAGUGAGUUUGAGGCCGGAUCUGGUUGGUGGGCGGUGGACUUCAGCGGGAUUGACGGGGAAUGGGGAAAGGCAGGCGCGGGCUCUAGCUGUGUUUCUCAAUUCACAGGGAGUGAGGUUCAGUGCAGUCUACUGCUCGCCGUUAGAUCGGGCGAGGGAUACAGCAGCCUUCGUUUGUCGGGAACUGAACUUUGCAGAGGAGCAGAUCCAAUCUUCAGAUGCUCUAACUGAGAUGAGUCAGGGACAGUGGGAAGGCUGUCUUCGCUCUGACAUCUACACUCCAGAAAUGAUCAGCUUGAUUGAUAAAACCCAGCCCGAUUUCUCGCCGCCUCUCGGUGAAUCACUGAGACAGGUGGAGUUUAGAAUGAUAGAAUUUAUCAGCAAAACUGUUCUCAGAAUUCCUGACAAUCUUUUCAGCGGGAACCCUCAACUGAGUCAUAACGACACCAAAGAAUUGUCGCGCCACGGCUCAGCAAACUCAUUGCAAGAUCGAAAUGAACCUCAAUGGGAUCUUCUCCACCGACUCAAUCGAACCGGAACUCAGAGGAAGAAAUCCGGUAAGAGCCGGCUUCAGUUCAUGACAACAGGGGACAACGAGAAUGAAGAAGAAUUUACCGCUGGAGAGACUAGUCAUAGUUCCUUUACGAACGAAGCAAAUUCUGGUCGAAAUUCUUUCGCCUCUAUUGGAAUUUUCACUCAUGCAACCCCGAUCAGAUGCCUUGUAACUUGUAUUCUUGGUUGUAAUCCCGCCAUGUCAAUGAAGAUCUGCAUUGAUGAUUCUUCUGUUACAGUGCUUCAACACACCCUCAGAAAAGGAUGGCAGGUAAAGAGAUUAAACGACACUUCGCAUGUCCGCCUGCUUUAACAGGUGAGCCAUAUCUUGUCAAUUCACUCAUGGCUUUGCUCCAGAAUUCCAAAAACUGGUUCAGAUCGAUUGCUCUGCGGAUCACAAAUUGAACUUCAGGACUUUAAAGCUUUUCAGCUAUUGAUUCUUCUACAUGGGAUGCUGAGUUUGGCCUCCACAAUUCAACAAUGGCUUCGGUCUUCUACUUUCUUCUUCGGCCAAUUUCUUCAGGCUAAGCUAUUAACGACCCAACUUCGAGCCGAGCUGGAGCGGCUUAAAAUCGGCUGGAAAAAAAAUUGAUCCAAAGUUUUGGCUCGUAGUUUGGCUCAUUUAUUUCGAUCCAAGCCAAAAUUCGAAUCAAUUUUCGAGCGAUUAACUAUCUUCAAGCUAAAUUCACUAUAUUAACAGCCCGAACAUCCUAGGAUUGUUAUCAAGCCGACCUGGGUUGGCUUGAAAUUGGUUCAAAAAAAUUUUGAUCCAAAAUUUUGGCUCAUAGCGCAGCGCAGCUUGUUUAUUUCGAUCUAAUCUCAAUCCGAGCCAAACAUUGAAUCAAUCUUCAAGCGA
RNA transcript from Phalaenopsis equestris, 1893 nucleotides. RefSeq lists it as uncharacterized. The transcript is spliced from 4 exons. The record is from RefSeq and is a predicted model, not a curated record. Lineage: Eukaryota; Viridiplantae; Streptophyta; Magnoliopsida; Asparagales; Orchidaceae.